Molecule: non-coding RNA, 24 nt
Filed under: Cricetulus griseus (Chinese hamster)
Lineage: Eukaryota; Metazoa; Chordata; Mammalia; Rodentia; Cricetidae
Source: RNAcentral
AUGGAAGGGAGAGACAGCGGACCC